CAAUAGCGUAUAUUAAAGUUGUUGCAGUUAAAAAGCUCGUAGUUGGAUUUCUGGUGGGAGCGAUCGGUCUGGCGCUUAGCGCGAGUACUUGCAUCGUCUCCGGCCAUCCUUGGGGAGAGUCUGUCUGGCAUUAGGUUGUCGGGCAGAGGAUCCUCAUCGUUUACUGUGAAAAAAUUAGAGUGUUCAAAGCAGGCUUAUGCCGUUGAAUAUAUUAGCAUGGAAUAAUAAGAUAGGACUUUGGUACUAUUUUGUUGGUUUGCGCACCAAAGUAAUGAUUAAUAGGGACAGUUGGGGGUAUUCGUAUUCCGUUGUCAGAGGUGAAAUUCUUGGAUUUACGGAAGACGAACUAAUGCGAAAGCAUUUACCAAGGAUGUUUUCAUUAA
RNAcentral lists this ribosomal RNA (383 nucleotides) under uncultured eukaryote. Its description in RNAcentral is "partial 18S ribosomal RNA". It matches the Rfam family "Eukaryotic small subunit ribosomal RNA", at positions 592 to 976 of the family's 1831-position model. The record is from RNAcentral.